UACGGGGGGGCAAGCGUGUUCGGAAUUACUGGGCGUAAAGGGCUCGUAGGCGGCCAACUAAGUCAGACGUGAAAUCCCUCGGCUUAACCGGGGAACUGCGUCUGAUACUGGAUGGCUUGAGUUUGGGAGAGGGAUGCGGAAUUCCUGGUGUAGCGGUGAAAUGCGUAGAUAUCUGGAGGAACACCGGUGGCGAAGGCGGCGUCCUGGACCAACACUGACACUGAUGAGCGAAAGCCAGGGGAGCAAACGGG
RNAcentral lists this ribosomal RNA (251 nucleotides) under uncultured bacterium. RNAcentral describes it as "partial 16S ribosomal RNA". It matches the Rfam family "Bacterial small subunit ribosomal RNA", at positions 524 to 776 of the family's 1533-position model. The record is from RNAcentral.